This 1528-nucleotide ribosomal RNA is filed under the name Escherichia coli. Its description in RNAcentral is "partial 23S ribosomal RNA". It matches the Rfam family "Bacterial large subunit ribosomal RNA", at positions 1 to 1574 of the family's 2925-position model. The record is from RNAcentral. Lineage: Bacteria; Pseudomonadati; Pseudomonadota; Gammaproteobacteria; Enterobacterales; Enterobacteriaceae.
GGUUAAGCGACUAAGCGUACACGGUGGAUGCCCUGGCAGUCAGAGGCGAUGAAGGACGUGCUAAUCUGCGAUAAGCGUCGGUAAGGUGAUAUGAACCGUUAUAACCGGCGAUUUCCGAAUGGGGAAACCCAGUGUGAUUCGUCACACUAUCAUUAACUGAAUCCAUAGGUUAAUGAGGCGAACCGGGGGAACUGAAACAUCUAAGUACCCCGAGGAAAAGAAAUCAACCGAGAUUCCCCCAGUAGCGGCGAGCGAACGGGGAGCAGCCCAGAGCCUGAAUCAGUGUGUGUGUUAGUGGAAGCGUCUGGAAAGGCGCGCGAUACAGGGUGACAGCCCCGUACACAAAAAUGCACAUAUUGUGAGCUCGAUGAGUAGGGCGGGACACGUGGUAUCCUGUCUGAAUAUGGGGGGACCAUCCUCCAAGGCUAAAUACUCCUGACUGACCGAUAGUGAACCAGUACCGUGAGGGAAAGGCGAAAAGAACCCCGGCGAGGGGAGUGAAAAAGAACCUGAAACCGUGUACGUACAAGCAGUGGGAGCCUCUUUAUGGGGUGACUGCGUACCUUUUGUAUAAUGGGUCAGCGACUUAUAUUCUGUAGCAAGGUUAACCGAAUAGGGGAGCCGAAGGGAAACCGAGUCUUAACUGGGCGUUAAGUUGCAGGGUAUAGACCCGAAACCCGGUGAUCUAGCCAUGGGCAGGUUGAAGGUUGGGUAACACUAACUGGAGGACCGAACCGACUAAUGUUGAAAAAUUAGCGGAUGACUUGUGGCUGGGGGUGAAAGGCCAAUCAAACCGGGAGAUAGCUGGUUCUCCCCGAAAGCUAUUUAGGUAGCGCCUCGUGAAUUCAUCUCCGGGGGUAGAGCACUGUUUCGGCAAGGGGGUCAUCCCGACUUACCAACCCGAUGCAAACUGCGAAUACCGGAGAAUGUUAUCACGGGAGACACACGGCGGGUGCUAACGUCCGUCGUGAAGAGGGAAACAACCCAGACCGCCAGCUAAGGUCCCAAAGUCAUGGUUAAGUGGGAAACGAUGUGGGAAGGCCCAGACAGCCAGGAUGUUGGCUUAGAAGCAGCCAUCAUUUAAAGAAAGCGUAAUAGCUCACUGGUCGAGUCGGCCUGCGCGGAAGAUGUAACGGGGCUAAACCAUGCACCGAAGCUGCGGCAGCGACACUAUGUGUUGUUGGGUAGGGGAGCGUUCUGUAAGCCUGUGAAGGUGUGCUGUGAGGCAUGCUGGAGGUAUCAGAAGUGCGAAUGCUGACAUAAGUAACGAUAAAGCGGGUGAAAAGCCCGCUCGCCGGAAGACCAAGGGUUCCUGUCCAACGUUAAUCGGGGCAGGGUGAGUCGACCCCUAAGGCGAGGCCGAAAGGCGUAGUCGAUGGGAAACAGGUUAAUAUUCCUGUACUUGGUGUUACUGCGAAGGGGGGACGGAGAAGGCUAUGUUGGCCGGGCGACGGUUGUCCCGGUUUAAGCGUGUAGGCUGGUUUUCCAGGCAAAUCCGGAAAAUCAAGGCUGAGGCGUGAUGACGAGG